GCAUAAUAAUUUGUCCUUUAUUUGAGGACUGGAAUGAAAGGCGUUAUGGGGAUAAUCUGUCUUGUGGAAUUUAUUUAAAAUUUAUUUAAAGGGUGCAAAUUCCCUUAAUUUUUUACAUUAGACGAGAAGACCCUUAGAAUUAUAAUUAAAUGUGGAUAAUAUCGCUUUAUUUUUGUUGGGGCAACAUUAACCUUUUAAACGGUUAAACAAAGAUUUUACUAGUAUAUAAUGAUUAGGAAGGAUUCAAUUACCUGAGGGAUAACAGCAAAAUUUAUUUAUAAGAUUAUGACCUCGAUGUUGGAUUAGGGUCUUUUUUUAUUAGAGGUAAAGAAAGAUGGUUCUGUUCGAACUUACUUACCCUACGUGAUCUGAGUUCAGA
RNAcentral lists this ribosomal RNA (379 nucleotides) under Mastus carneolus. Its description in RNAcentral is "partial 16S ribosomal RNA". The record is from RNAcentral. Lineage: Eukaryota; Metazoa; Mollusca; Gastropoda; Stylommatophora; Enidae.